UGGGGAAUUUUGGACAAUGGGCGAAAGCCUGAUCCAGCAAUGCCGCGUGUGUGAAGAAGGCCUUCGGGUUGUAAAGCACUUUUGUCCGGAAAGAAAUCCUUGGCUCUAAUACAGUCGGGGGAUGACGGUACCGGAAGAAUAAGCACCGGCUAACUACGUGCCAGCAGCCGCGGUAAUACGUAGGGUGCAAGCGUUAAUCGGAAUUACUGGGCGUAAAGCGUGCGCAGGCGGUUUGCUAAGACCGAUGUGAAAUCCCCGGGCUCAACCUGGGAACUGCAUUGGUGACUGGCAGGCUAGAGUAUGGCAGAGGGGGGUAGAAUUCCACGUGUAGCAGUGAAAUGCGUAGAGAUGUGGAGGAAUACCGAUGGCGAAGGCAGCCCCCUGGGCCAAUACUGACGCUCAUGCACGAAAGCGUGGGGAGCAAACAGGAUUAGAUACCCUGGUAGUCCACGCCCUAAGCGAUGUCAACUAGUUGUUGGGGAUUCAUUUCCUUAGUAACGUAGCUAACGCGUGAAGUUGACCGCCUGGGGAGUACGGUCGCAAGAUU
RNAcentral lists this ribosomal RNA (547 nucleotides) under uncultured bacterium. Its description in RNAcentral is "partial 16S ribosomal RNA". It matches the Rfam family "Bacterial small subunit ribosomal RNA", at positions 355 to 895 of the family's 1533-position model. The record is from RNAcentral.